Molecule: ribosomal RNA, 253 nt
Filed under: uncultured bacterium
Lineage: Bacteria
Description: partial 16S ribosomal RNA
Rfam family: Bacterial small subunit ribosomal RNA
Source: RNAcentral
UACGUAGGGGGCAAGCGUUGUCCGGAAUCAUUGGGCGUAAAGAGCGUGUAGGCGGCCAGAUAAGUCCGCUGUGAAAUCUCGAGGCUCAACUUCGAGCUGUCGGUGGAAACUGUCUGGCUAGAGUCCGGAAGAGGAAAGUGGAAUUCCUGGUGUAGCGGUGAAAUGCGCAGAUAUCAGGAAGAACACCCGUGGCGAAGGCGGCUUUCUGGGACGGUACUGACGCUGAGACGCGAAAGCGUGGGGAGCGAACAGG